RNAcentral lists this ribosomal RNA (475 nucleotides) under uncultured bacterium. Its description in RNAcentral is "SSU rRNA". It matches the Rfam family "Bacterial small subunit ribosomal RNA", at positions 26 to 520 of the family's 1533-position model. The record is from RNAcentral.
AGGACGAACGCUGGCGGCGUGCUUAACACAUGCAAGUCGAGCGGAAAGGCCCUUCGGGGUACUCGAGCGGCGAACGGGUGAGUAACACGUGAGCAACCUGCCCUUAGCUCCGGGAUAGCUCCGGGAAACCGGAAUUAAUACCGGAUACGACCACGGCCGACAUCUGCUGUGGUGGAAAGGAUUCCGGCUAAGGAUGGGCUCGCGGCCUAUCAGCUAGUUGGUGGAGUAACGGCCCACCAAGGCGACGACGGGUAGCCGGCCUGAGAGGGCGACCGGCCACACUGGGACUGAGACACGGCCCAGACUCCUACGGGAGGCAGCAGUGGGGAAUAUUGCGCAAUGGGCGAAAGCCUGACGCAGCGACGCCGCGUGGGGAUGAAGGCCUUCGGGUUGUAAACCCCUUUCAGCAGGGACGAAGCGAAAGUGACGGUACCUGCAGAAGAAGCGCCGGCUAACUACGUGCCAGCAGCCGCGA